CCUACGGGGGGCUGCAGUAGGGAAUAUUAGAAAUGGACGAAAGUCUGAUCUAGCAACACCGCGUGUGCGAAGAAGGCCUUCGGGUCGUAAAGCACUUUUUGGAAGGAAUAGGAAGGAAUGUACUUCCAGAAUAAGUCUCGGCUAACUACGUGCCAGCAGCCGCGGUAACACGUAGGAGGCAAACGUUAUCCGGAUUUACUGGGCGUAAAGCGCGUGUAGGUGGUACUGUAAGUAGGGCGUGAAAGCUCCUGGCUCAACUGGGAGAGGCCGUUCUAAACUACAGAACUAGAGGAUGGUAGAGGGAGGUGGAAUUCCAGGUGUAGCGGUGGAAUGCGCAGAUAUCUGGAGGAACACCGGUGGCGAAGGCGGCCUCCUGGACCAUUCCUGACACUCAGACGCGAAAGCUAGGGUAGCAAACGGGAUUAGAUACCCGUGUAGUC
RNAcentral lists this ribosomal RNA (440 nucleotides) under uncultured Anaerolineaceae bacterium. RNAcentral's name for it is "bacterial SSU rRNA". It matches the Rfam family "Bacterial small subunit ribosomal RNA", at positions 338 to 795 of the family's 1533-position model. Lineage: Bacteria; Bacillati; Chloroflexota; Anaerolineae; Anaerolineales; Anaerolineaceae. The record is from RNAcentral.